CUUAUGCUUAUAGUAUGAUAUUCGCAUUUCUUCUACAGUCUCACUUUUCUCCCACUCCCAUCUAUAUGAUGCCGAAGUCUGGCUGGGCACAAAAUCAGGAGCCACUCAAGCAGGAACAAACUUUAUUUCUGAACUCCACCGAAUGCGAACCACUCGGGCCUUUUCAGGAACACCACACACCAACCGGAACUCCCUCCACCGGAAUUUCACCAACCAACCAACUCAAACUCUCCUGGAAUCCCCGUGAGAACUCCAAAGUAGGGGGGGCACCCGAGGGGGACAGCAGGGGUCUAUAUACAAUUGAAUACACAGCCUGUUUCAAUCCAGCAUCAUCCAGUCACAGCAAUUAUAGACAGCUUAAUUAUCAUCAUCUUAAUGUGUCGCCUCUCAACCAUUACUUCUGGCAAAAUGCCAGGGGCCAUCCCCACUCGGCUGUGGCUCUCAGCAAUAUGAUCCAAUACAAUUUCUCUCUUAUUCCUGAGAUAAAGUAUAUUACUCAGACCUGGCCAAUCAGACUACUGAUUUCCUCUAGAGAGUAAUUUGAUCUAGGAUGGACAUGUGACCCCCAUUGCUCCAGUAAGAAUGAAAUCUAGGACUAGGACAGCCACAUCAAUAUUUAUAGCAGCACAAUUCACAAUAUCUAACCUAUGGAACCAACCUAGGUACCCUUCAACAGAUGAAUGGAUAAAGAAAAUGUGGUAUAUAUACACAAUGGAAUAUUUCUCAUCUUUAAAGAAGAAUGACUUUAUAUGACAUUUUCCAGCAAAUGGAAGGAUCAGGAGACUAUCAUGCUAAGAGAAAUAAGCCAAUUCCCCACAAAAACAAAGGUUGAAUGGCCUCUCUGAUAUGUGGAUGCUGACAAAAAAGGGGAGAGGAAACGGAGGGUAAAAAUAGAAGUUCAGUGUAUUACAAAAGGAAAUGAAGAGAAGGGAGAGGGGAUAGGAAUAGGUAAGACAGUGGAAUGGAUCUGACAUAACUUUCCUAUGUACAUAGAUGAAUAUACCACAGUGAAUCUCAACAUCAUGUACAGCCAUAAGACUGGGAUCUUAAUUAGAAUAAUAUAUACUCCUUAUUUGUACAAAUACAUCUAAAUAGGCUCUACUGUCAUGUAUAUCUAAGGAGAACAAAUUUUUUAAAAAUGAAAAUUUGGAUGUGGGUGUGGAUCACUGGUUAAGUGUCUCUGUACCCCCAGUAUCAACAGGAAAAAGAAAAAAAAAAAUCUGCUAUCAAAAGCUUGUCUUUGCUGUGCUUCAUUCAAAUUUUAUUGACCCUCAGACCUAUUUGUCACUACAGAAAUCAAGAUGAUAAAUACUUCAUAUAAUUAAAUAAUUUAUAUUAUCAUAACAGGAGUAAUACAUGUUUUACUAAUAUAUCCCUUUUUGCCAUCACAUAGAAAUAUUUUGGAGUAAGCUGACUUGUUUGUGUCCUUUGGAUAAAAAUUGUGCUGAAACCAGCCAUUUUGUCAAAUUAUUCCAACAAUACUAAUGACUUUAAGUCAUAAGUUAAAAAAAUAUCUCUUGAAGAACAUGGGAUUCUGAUUAUAACUUACAUUAAAAUGUUUUACUUACAUUAAAAUGAUUAAGCAACAUCUGAUACAGGCAAAUUUCAAUCCAUACAUAAAUUAAUACAUAUGUUUCUAACAUUUAAUGAUCUGCAACAUAAAAUUAUAUAUUUGGUCUUCCAUUGAACCGGAUGUUACACUUUCUUUCUCUUAAACAAUAUUCUUAUGGUUUAAAUAUGAGAUGUCCUCCAAAAGUUUAUGUGUAAGACAAUGCAAGAAAGUUUAGAGGUAAAUUGAUCAGAUUAUGAGAGUUUGUUUAACCUAAUCAGUUCAUUAAUCCACUGAUAAGGAUUAACUGGGUGGUGACUAUAGGCAGGUAGGGUAUGUCUGGAGAAAGUAGUCAUUGGGAGCAUGCCUUUGGGGUUUAUAUUUUGGGCUGGGCAAGUGGAGCUCUCUCUGCUUUCUGAUGUUCAUGUCCUGAGUUUAGUUUUCUCUGCCACACCCUUCAGCCAUGAUGUUCUGCCUCACCUCCGCAUAAAGCAAUGGAGUCAGUCAUCUAUGGACUGAGAUCUCUGAAACCAUGAGUCAAAUAAACCUUUCUUUCUCUAAAAUUGUUCUUGUCAGAUCUUUUGGUCACAGUGGCAAAAAAGCUGACUAAAACAAAUAUGUUUAUUUAACAUUUCAUCUUCCCAUUCUUAUAUUUAUAAGGAAUGAUUUGUUCCCCCUACUUUAUGAAAGUCAGAUAAAUUCCAAGGUUUAGUCCUAAAGUACCCAGAAUUCAGCUGGUAAUGUCAGAAAGAUGAGAGUUAAACAGAAGGAAGCAGAGAACUUGGAAAACAAAAAGGAAAGAAAUGAGGAAUUAAACUUAUAACUUUAAGAAAAAUAUUAGACUGGUAUAGCCCAGUGGAAGAGCAUUUGCCUAAAACACAUGAAGCCCUGAAUUCAAUUCCCAGUAUGCAAAAGGCAAAGGGAGGGACUGGGGUUGUGGCUCAGUGGAAGCACACUUGCCUAGCAUGUGUGAGGUACUGGGUUAGAGUCUCAGCACCGCAUAUAAAUAAAUAAAUAAAUGUCCAUCAGCAACUAAAAAAUAGAUACUUAAAAAUAAAAAGGAAAAGGGAAAGUAUUUAGGCACUUAAUGAUAUAUAGAAAUACAGUGGACAUUUAAUCUUAUUCUCUCCUGUGUUAGAACUAGUUCAGUACUCAUUCAGAGCUGAGAGAACAGAUAAAAUUAAGCAAAACACGUCAAGUUCUUUUUUCCUUCAGAUACAAGUAAAUUUACUAGGCCUGUUUUAUAAAAUUUGCAAAUCAAUAAUACUUUAAUCACUGUCAGUUAAAACCACAGUGGCUCUUCUUCUCUGUACUGGAAUGGUUGCAGGCUUCUUGGGGAUUUGCCUAAGGGAAACUGUUACAAAACAUUUUGGCUUUGGUGGCAUAUAUUUAUGUCAUCCAUAAAUAUUUCCCUAAAGAAUUUUUGCUAGCCAUCCUGGUGUAGGAAUGACUUUCAGGAAUCUUCCUACACCCCAUUGUACAGACCCACCCAAAAACUUAACCCAAAUACACCACUGACAAAUUGGUUAAUGAGUGCUAUCAGACCAAGACAUCUUGAAAUGUCCUGAAAUUCUACAGUUCAUCUAUGAAAGAAACUUGAUAAUGGUUUCCCAAACUUAGCAACAAUAUUAAAAUUGUACAUGAACCUUAUCAACAAGGAAUUGUAAAGCUGAAACAUUCCUAAACUUGUAAUAAGAAUAAGCAAGUUUAAAUCACCUAUGUUAGAGGAAAUGCUGAAUUAUCUUCCUAUUCCCUAGAAUAAAAAUUAUAUUCUGAAAUUAUUGUCAUAGGAAAAGAUAAUCCAUGAUUAUGCAGCUAAAAAGUAUAAGGAAAAAAGUGUUAGAUAGAGACUUAUUAUGAAGUUCAUUGAUUAAAAGCAUUUUGUUAAUUUUCUAGAUUUUAAGAUCUUUGUGAUAUUUUUCAGCCUCUUGAGAUUUGUGAUUUGUUGUGACUUCCAUUAUCUUUCUGACCAAAUAUUACAUGCAUAAUUUUGUAUUUCUUUUCUUAAAGAAGCUUCCUCCUGGGCAACCCACUUGGGAUCCCUCUCUUCUUGGAGCUGCUCUUCUUCUCUGUUUAACAAAAGAAAGAAAUUCUGUCACUUUACUCAAAGGAAAAAAAAAAAGAGAGAGAGAAAAUACUUCCUCCCUACAACCCCAAAUUGUAUAAACUGCAGGAUACACAAAAUCAAGAUUCACAUAUGCCUUCAAAAUAAAUAUCAAUAUAAUUCUAAUGGAAUGCAAAGUAUAAAAUCACAUCUAUGAUUCAGAGGUUUCCAAAUACCUAUGUGAUUUGCUGAAUUUUUAAAAAUAUUUCAUCAAAAUGUUUAGUAUCAUAUUGCCAUAAUCAAUGACUGGCAUUCUAAGAAUAAACACAUAAGGAUCAAAUUUAUAAUUUCUGCAGAUUACCCAGGUAGUGAAACAUUUGUUUGAAGUUUCA
Molecule: long non-coding RNA, 3985 nt
Filed under: Marmota monax (woodchuck)
Lineage: Eukaryota; Metazoa; Chordata; Mammalia; Rodentia; Sciuridae
Source: RNAcentral